GGAUGUGAGGGCGAUCUGGCUGGAACAUAUGUCACGCCAUUGAUCGCCUGGGUUGAUUCGGCAGAUAUGGCUGGCUAGGUGGGUGUCCCCUUCCUCCCUCACCGCUCCCUGUGAGUCCCUGUCCAAGCUGGGCUCUCGGUCAAAGAGGACAACCACCCCCGAUAGAGGAGAGCCGUUUCCUCGGUCAAGGGUAUACAAGUAGCUGUGCUCCCCUGCUAGAACCUCCAAACAAGCUCUCAAAGGAAGAACAUUGCAGAUGGUGCUGGGUG
This 269-nucleotide small nuclear RNA is filed under the name Fukomys damarensis (Damara mole-rat). RNAcentral describes it as "7SK RNA". It matches the Rfam family "7SK RNA", at positions 1 to 266 of the family's 331-position model. From Rfam's summary of the family: 7SK was discovered as an abundant small nuclear RNA in the mid-70s but a possible function has only recently been suggested. Lineage: Eukaryota; Metazoa; Chordata; Mammalia; Rodentia; Bathyergidae. The record is from Rfam by way of RNAcentral.